This is a small nucleolar RNA of Dioscorea cayenensis subsp. rotundata (Guinea yam), 107 nucleotides long. The record is from RefSeq and is a predicted model, not a curated record. Lineage: Eukaryota; Viridiplantae; Streptophyta; Magnoliopsida; Dioscoreales; Dioscoreaceae.
AACCUGUGUUGUGGACACUUCCGCAAAAGGUCCUUGAAUCACUCCCAAGCCUCAAAUAAGGAUUCAAGUUCAAUCUGAACAAAUUAAGAUACCUCAUUGCGAAGCUU